CCCUGAAAAAAAGGUUUUUUAUUCGGCAGUUUUUCGUUUUAUUCAUAAACUCUUUAUUAAGAGGACGCAACGCUUAUUUUAGCUUGAUUCGAGAAGGUGCUUACAAAUGUUAAGAACAAAACGACCAGGCUGAAGCCAAUGAAACAUAGUCGAUCCACGGCGGUGGCCAGCAGCACCCAGUCGAACUGAAGGGC
This is a long non-coding RNA of Drosophila novamexicana, 194 nucleotides long. RefSeq lists it as uncharacterized. The transcript has 3 exons. NCBI's taxonomy places the organism in Eukaryota, Metazoa, Arthropoda, Insecta, Diptera, Drosophilidae. The record is from RefSeq and is a predicted model, not a curated record.